AACGAACGCUGGCGGCAUGCCUAACACAUGCAAGUCGAACGAGACCUUCGGGUAUAGUGGCGCACGGGUGCGUAACGCGUGGGAACCUGCCCUUAGGUUCGGAAUAACUCUCCGAAAGGGGUGCUAAUACCGGAUAAUGUCUUCGGACCAAAGAUUUAUCGCCUUUGGAUGGGCCCGCGUUGGAUUAGCUAGUUGGUAGGGUAAAAGCCUACCAAGGCGACGAUCCAUAGCUGGUUUGAGAGGAAGAUCAGCCACACUGGGACUGGGACACGGCCCAGACUCCUACGGGAGGCAGCAGUGGGGAAUAUUGGACAAUGGGCGAAAGCCUGAUCCAGCAAUGCCGCGUGAGUGAUGAAGGCCUUAGGGUUGUAAAGCUCUUUUACCCGGGAUGAUAAUGACGGUACCGGGAGAAUAAGCUCCGGCUAACUCCGUG
RNAcentral lists this ribosomal RNA (433 nucleotides) under uncultured bacterium. RNAcentral's name for it is "partial 16S ribosomal RNA". It matches the Rfam family "Bacterial small subunit ribosomal RNA", at positions 29 to 507 of the family's 1533-position model. The record is from RNAcentral.